CACGGGGGGAGCAAGCGUUGUUCGGAAUCACUGGGCGUAAAGGGCGUGUAGGCGGUCAGGUAAGUGAGAUGUGAAAUGCUCCGGCUCACCCGGAGACCGGCAUCUCAAACUGUCUGGCUUGAGUACGGGAGAGGAUGAGGGAAUUCCUGGUGUAGCGGUGAAAUGCGUAGAUAUCAGGAGGAACACCGGUGGCGAAGGCGCUCAUCUGGCCCGAUACUGACGCUGAGGCGCGAAAGCUAGGGGAGCAAACGGG
RNAcentral lists this ribosomal RNA (253 nucleotides) under uncultured bacterium. RNAcentral describes it as "partial 16S ribosomal RNA". It matches the Rfam family "Bacterial small subunit ribosomal RNA", at positions 524 to 776 of the family's 1533-position model. The record is from RNAcentral.